GACGAACGCUGGCGGCGUGCUUAACACAUGCAAGUCGAACGAAGUGGCGAACGGGUGAGUAACGCGUAAUCAACCUGCCCUUCAGAGGGGGACAACAGUUGGAAACGACUGCUAAUACCCCAUAGUGAAGGGGGGGAUUGAGUCUGAUUAGCUAGUUGGGGGGGUAACGGCCCACCAAGACGAUGAUCAGUAGCCGGUCUGAGAGGAUGUACGGCCACAUUGGGACUGAGACACGGCCCAGACUCCUACGGGAGGCAGCAGUGGGGAAUCUUCCGCAAUGGACGAAAGUCUGACGGAGCAACGCCGCGUGAGUGAUGACGGCCUUCGGGUUGUAAAGCUCUGUUAAUCGGGACGCGGUACCGGAAUAGAAAGCCACGGCUAACUACGUGCCAGCCGCCGCGGUAAUAC
RNAcentral lists this ribosomal RNA (408 nucleotides) under uncultured bacterium. RNAcentral describes it as "partial 16S ribosomal RNA". It matches the Rfam family "Bacterial small subunit ribosomal RNA", at positions 28 to 526 of the family's 1533-position model. The record is from RNAcentral.